UACGAAGGGGGCUAGCGUUGUUCGGAUUCAUUGGGCGUAAAGGGUGCGUAGGCGGCGCGGUAAGUCGGGUGUGAAAUCUUGGAGCUUAACUCCGAAACUGCAUUCGAUACUGCCGUGCUUGAGGACUGGAGAGGAGACUGGAAUUUACGGUGUAGCGGUGAAAUGCGUAGAUAUCGUAAGGAAGACCAGUGGCGAAGGCGGGUCUCUGGACAGUUCCUGACGCUGAGGCGCGAAGGCCAGGGGAGCAAACGGG
This 253-nucleotide ribosomal RNA is filed under the name uncultured bacterium. RNAcentral describes it as "partial 16S ribosomal RNA". It matches the Rfam family "Bacterial small subunit ribosomal RNA", at positions 524 to 776 of the family's 1533-position model. The record is from RNAcentral.